CAGCCGCCGCGGGAAUACGGAGGGUGCAAGCGUUAAUCGGAAUUACUGGGCGUAAAGCGCACGCAGGCGGUCUGACAAGUCAGAUGUGAAAUCCCCGGGCUUAACCUGGGAACUGCAUUUGAAACUGUCAGGCUGGAGUCUUGUAGAGGGGGGUGGAAUUCCAGGUGUAGCGGUGAAAUGCGUAGAGAUCUGGAGGAAUACCGGUGGCGAAGGCGGCCCCCUGGACAAAGACUGACGCUCAGGUGCGAAAGCGUGGGGAGCAAACAGGAUUAGAUACCCCUGUAGUCCCUGUCUCUUUACA
RNAcentral lists this ribosomal RNA (301 nucleotides) under uncultured bacterium. RNAcentral describes it as "partial 16S ribosomal RNA". It matches the Rfam family "Bacterial small subunit ribosomal RNA", at positions 509 to 808 of the family's 1533-position model. The record is from RNAcentral.